Molecule: ribosomal RNA, 253 nt
Filed under: uncultured bacterium
Lineage: Bacteria
Description: partial 16S ribosomal RNA
Rfam family: Bacterial small subunit ribosomal RNA
Source: RNAcentral
UACGAAGGUGGCAAGCGUUGUUCGGAUUUACUGGGCGUACAGGGAGCGUAGGCGGUUGGAUAAGCCCUCCGUGAAAUCUCCAGGCUUAACCUGGAAAGUGCAGAGGGGACUGUUCAGCUAGAGGAUGGGAGAGGAGCGCGGAAUUCCCGGUGUAGCGGUGAAAUGCGUAGAGAUCGGGAGGAAGGCCGGUGGCGAAGGCGGCGCUCUGGAACAUUUCUGACGCUGAGGCUCGAAAGCGUGGGGAGCAAGCAGG